Molecule: long non-coding RNA, 1948 nt
Organism: Nematostella vectensis (starlet sea anemone)
Lineage: Eukaryota; Metazoa; Cnidaria; Anthozoa; Actiniaria; Edwardsiidae
Exons: 2
Source: RefSeq, a predicted model, not a curated record
GAUUAUGAGAAUAAAAUUUGCAUACUAAAUUAUGAAAAGAGUCGGUCUACUUAAACAAGAAAUUCUACCCCAAGAACCGGUUUAACAGUCUUAUCGUAAGACAAAGUAAUAUUUAAGUUUGUUUGCGAUCUCUGUUUUUUUUUAUGGAAGAGGGUAUCAAAAACGGAAAGAAACCGGGUUACAAUUUAGUUUCUUGCGUGACUAAGCAUGCAUGGAAUGUUACAAGCUGGCGGUUUUCCCUAUUUAGCCGCUAAACACGAGUGAGCACACUUAGAAUAAUUUCCGGCGAAAGCAACCAAAGAACGUGGGUUUGAAUUUCGUGUCUCGUUUGGCGAAGGGCGAACGGACCAAGUUUCUACUUCGUAUAUAAAUAGUUAAGUAACUAAAGAACAACUAGCGAUACAUGAUCUCUUAUUUGCUGGCUUAUGACAUAGGACAUGUUUAGCUUUUGAACAUUCCUUUAUUCUGCCGAGCCGGCUGACAUACUGAUACCUUGGUCCCAGACCCUCGUGCGUCUCUCUAUUCAGUGGCCUGGCCACUAAAUAGAGAGACGCACGAGGCUCUGGAACCAGGGUAACAUACUGACGUAAAAGACGUACAUUUAAGCACGACUGUCACAACAAGGAAGCUAUAUACAGGACAGUUGAAAAUAGAAGAGAACAGAUAAAGACUGAGUUCGCCCCGCCAGUCCUUCAAAGUCUGUAAGCCACAGCUGGCAAGGCACAACACAAUACAACGAAUUUUCCAUUACGCAGACGUUAAUGCGCCUCGCCAUUACGAUUUCAAAAGGUUUGUUUGUGCUGAUUCCACCUGAGGACCCUUCCGUAAUCCCUGAAUUCAACCCAGGUAAAGGAAAACUAAGUUUAAAAUACCUGAUCUGACGAUUAUGAUAAGUUUUGGGUGUUGCGCUUGAGCUUCGAGUUCCGGGAACUGCACUUCGCAUUAUGCAAAAUUUGUGACGUCACAUUCUUUUGUCUUCGCGCCCAAGCUCCCUGGCGUUUCAGCGGAAAUAGAGACCGUUGCGCACACGUGACCAAAGGCCUUGAUAACGGUUGUUGCUUAUGGACGAAAUCGAUUGUGCUAAUAAAACCACAGGUAGCCCAGGCAAUGGUUGCUUGUUCGUAGCUCGGAAUUCGGCUGUUCUGAGAGGGGGCGAGUAAAGCGUUUUUUUGUGUGAAAUGUUGUCAAUAAAAUUGCCUUAGAACUUAAAACAUGCCUUGUGGUUGUCAAAUUCACGUGUAAUACACGGUUUAGGGGGGGGGGGGGGUGUUCUUAACGGGAUUUAUAACUUCUCUCCCCCUACUAAGGAAAGAAACAAGGUUGGAGGCGCCAUUUUCGGUAGCGCUCAAAUGUCGUCUAUGCCAGGGUACACUUACAUUCGAUAUGUGGCAACACAUCCGAGCUAAACUAUUUUCCCUGGCCGCUAGCCGUAUUUUAAAACGAGAAAGUAGCCACAAGCAUCCUUGACCGACGCCGUUGUACGAUUAGUUACGCUUGACCGCGCUGGGAAGGAGCACAGGUAGCCCAGGCAAUGGUUGCUUGCUCGUAGCUCGCGUUUUUUGUAGAAUGUUGUCAAAAAAAAUAAGGCAUGUUCUAAGUUUUAAGCUUGGUAUAGCAUAAUUUUACUAUAAAUAGGGACAUUUUAGGUGGACAAUUAAGUCUAGGAAUUAUAUUUAAUUAGGUUUAGAAUAUGAAAUUUGAAUUUAGCGCUCAGAGAAAUUGUCCUGACAUGUUGACUCAUUGACGGCUGAUUGAUAACUGAAUAACUAGGCUUUACCGGAAGUUGAACACCGGAAGUAUAUAUACGAUCUAAGGAUAGCUGUUUUGCUAAAGCACAGAAAGACCACAAAAAGUUUACGGAUGAUCAAUCCGACCAUUUGACGAUCGAGUGACAUAGAAGUCCAUCCAAUAACUCGUAAAUGCUUUGUAAGAUUUCACAAGUUAAAAA